This 216-nucleotide ribosomal RNA is filed under the name uncultured bacterium. Its description in RNAcentral is "partial 16S ribosomal RNA". It matches the Rfam family "Bacterial small subunit ribosomal RNA", at positions 328 to 539 of the family's 1533-position model. The record is from RNAcentral.
ACGCUCGACACCUACGGGAGCAGCAGUGAGGAAUAUUGGUCAAUGGACGCAAGUCUGAACCAGCCAUGCCGCGUGCAGGAUGACGGCUCUAUGAGUUGUAAACUGCUUUUGUACGAGGGUAAACGCAGAUACGUGUAUCUGUCUGAAAGUAUCGUACGAAUAAGGAUCGGCUAACUCCGCGCCAGCAGCCGCGGUAAUCUGAGCGGCUGGCAAGGC